UAGGAUCAAUAGAUAUAGGUGAAAUCCCUUUAUUUGGUA
Molecule: transfer RNA, 39 nt
Filed under: Penion fairfieldae
Lineage: Eukaryota; Metazoa; Mollusca; Gastropoda; Neogastropoda; Buccinidae
Description: partial tRNA-Leu
Source: RNAcentral